AACCUGCCUUCAGGAUGGGGACAACAGACGGAAACGACUGCUAAUACCGAAUACGUUCCACGGCCGCAUGACCUGUGGAAGAAAGGGUAGCCUCUACCUGUAAGCUAUCGCCUGAAGAGGGGUUUGCGUCUGAUUAGGCAGUUGGUGGGGUAACGGCCCACCAAACCAACGAUCAGUAGCCGGUCUGAGAGGAUGAACGGCCACACUGGAACUGAGACACGGUCCAG
Molecule: ribosomal RNA, 227 nt
Filed under: uncultured Veillonellaceae bacterium
Lineage: Bacteria; Bacillati; Bacillota; Negativicutes; Veillonellales; Veillonellaceae
Description: partial 16S ribosomal RNA
Rfam family: Bacterial small subunit ribosomal RNA
Source: RNAcentral